This 248-nucleotide ribosomal RNA is filed under the name uncultured bacterium. RNAcentral's name for it is "partial 16S ribosomal RNA". It matches the Rfam family "Bacterial small subunit ribosomal RNA", at positions 530 to 776 of the family's 1533-position model. The record is from RNAcentral.
GGGUGCGAGCGUUGUGCGGAAUUAUUGGGCGUAAAGAGCUCGUAGGCGGUGUGUCGCGUCGGCCGUGAAAACCUGCAGCUUAACUGUGGGCGUGCGGUCGAUACGGGCAUCACUGGAGUUCGGCAGGGGAGACUGGAAUUCCUGGUGUAGCGGUGAAAUGCGUAGAUAUCUGGAGGAACACCGGUGGCGAAGGCGGCAUUCUGGACCAAUACUGACGCUGAGGAGCGAAAGCCAGGGGAGCAAACGGG